AUCUAGCUUACGAGUCCCAAAUAGAACGGAACGCACGUCAAACUGGAU
Molecule: non-coding RNA, 48 nt
Organism: Schistosoma mansoni
Lineage: Eukaryota; Metazoa; Platyhelminthes; Trematoda; Strigeidida; Schistosomatidae
Source: Rfam